Molecule: ribosomal RNA, 204 nt
Filed under: uncultured bacterium
Lineage: Bacteria
Description: partial 16S ribosomal RNA
Rfam family: Bacterial small subunit ribosomal RNA
Source: RNAcentral
UAGGGAAUCUUCGGCAAUGGGGGCAACCCUGACCGAGCAACGCCGCGUGAGUGAAGAAGGUUUUCGGAUCGUAAAGCUCUGUUGUAAGUCAAGAACGGGUGUGAGAGUGGAAAGUUCACACUGUGACGGUAGCUUACCAGAAAGGGACGGCUAACUACGUGCCAGCAGCCGCGGUAAUACGUAGGUCCCGAGCGUUGUCCGGAU